UUUCUAAGUUUAUUUGAGUGAUGUGUUUGUGGGGAAUGGUUUAUCUUCUCUUAAAGUUGGUUGUCCUCUACUUGUUUGUAUUCAGGCAGCCAUUUAGUGAAACUUCGCAUUGCUUCAAACUGAUGCUCUUCACCGAUUUCAAAACGGCGCAGCCAAUUUUCAUCGAAAUCCUAAUCCGGUAUAACCCAUCAAUCCAAUUAUCAAGACUAGAAACCAGAACCGCUACGACCUCCCUGCAAUGUUCUAUCGGAGAAAGCUAUCUGAAACUUCUAAGGUUAUUUCCGUCGAAGCUCAACUAUUUGCUCUUGCCAAAAAGUAACAAGUGCCGAAGUGUGACGACUUAAACCUUGGAACUAAAUGCUCUGACCGCAACUGAAGGAAAACUUAAAUGGGCUCCCAGUGAAUUCCAUUCAUGGAAGAUGAAGAUCCAAGUUUGCUUCAAUCUCGAUAAUCGUGGAUCAUGUCGACUCUUCAUUCUGAAAUCCAAAUAGUAAACUAGAUGGUAAAUCUACAAGUACUGAAUUUACUAUUGCAUGCAUGAAUAAGACUGAAGUCGAUGUACCUAGCUUGUAUCGCGUCGUUUACGAGAUAAAUGAAAUGUAAAUUGAAGUUCUCAGCGAUUAGUUUGAUCUAGUUUUCUUCUUUAAGCUGUAGAUUAAAAAUUAACUUUAAUUAGAUAGUAAAUGGUCAUUAGCCUCUAUGCAGGGAACUUCAAUGCAUCUAUUAAUAGUGUUUUCGAAUCUUGUAAACUCCUUAAUUAAAUUUUCCGUCCUUAAAUUCGGAUGAAACGGACAAGACUUCCUCAAACUAGAUGUCCUGCAGAAUUUGGAGAUUAGGCUCGUAGGCGCUUAACUGUUUUGCCCGUAUGCCGUACGUGUAUGGAAUUUCGAUAGUUGUAAGCAAAAAUAAACCAUCCAGAACGAUUUUAAUUAAAUACAAGUUACUUAAAAUACAUAGAUAUGCGACGUAUUCAAUGGAUUUCUUUUGAAUCAAAAAGGUGUCAUUUUAUUAGAUAGUACAGAAAACAAAACAGUUGUUCGAUUCGGUGGAAAAUCGGUAUC
This is a long non-coding RNA of Argiope bruennichi, 1061 nucleotides long. RefSeq lists it as uncharacterized. The record is from RefSeq and is a predicted model, not a curated record. The transcript has 4 exons. Lineage: Eukaryota; Metazoa; Arthropoda; Arachnida; Araneae; Araneidae.